CCCUUCCCAGGAUUGUACCUGGAGAGUUUCCAGGACUCUACCAGUCUCUGCUACGGGGGGGAGAGUCAAGCAGAGGCAUACCCAUGCCAUUCCAAGCUUGGGCGGUGGCUGUCGAGUGGGAGACAAUCUGCUACAAAU
This is a small nucleolar RNA of Tachyglossus aculeatus (Australian echidna), 138 nucleotides long. NCBI's taxonomy places the organism in Eukaryota, Metazoa, Chordata, Mammalia, Monotremata, Tachyglossidae. The record is from RefSeq and is a predicted model, not a curated record.